This 254-nucleotide ribosomal RNA is filed under the name uncultured bacterium. Its description in RNAcentral is "partial 16S ribosomal RNA". It matches the Rfam family "Bacterial small subunit ribosomal RNA", at positions 524 to 776 of the family's 1533-position model. The record is from RNAcentral.
UACGUAGGGUGCGAGCGUUGUCCGGAAUUAUUGGGCGUAAAGAGCUCGUAGGCGGUGUGUCGCGUCGGCCGUGAAAACCUGGGGCUCAACUCUGGGCGUGCGGUCGAUACGGGCAUCACUUGAGUUCGGCAGGGGAGACUGGAAUUCCUGGUGUAGCGGUGAAAUGCGCAGAUAUUAGGAAGAACACCGGUGGCGAAGGCGGCCCACUGGCUCGACACUGACGCUGAGGUGCGAAAGCGUGGGGAGCGAACAGG